Molecule: transfer RNA, 72 nt
Rfam family: tRNA
About the family: Transfer RNA (tRNA) molecules are approximately 80 nucleotides in length. Their secondary structure includes four short double-helical elements and three loops (D, anti-codon, and T loops).
Source: Rfam
UCCUUGAUAGUAUAGUGGUCAGUAUUCCUGCCUGUCACGCAGGCGGCCGGGGUUCGAUUCCCCGUCAGGGAG